This 253-nucleotide ribosomal RNA is filed under the name uncultured bacterium. RNAcentral's name for it is "partial 16S ribosomal RNA". It matches the Rfam family "Bacterial small subunit ribosomal RNA", at positions 524 to 776 of the family's 1533-position model. The record is from RNAcentral.
UACGUAGGGUCCGAGCGUUGUCCGGAAUUAUUGGGCGUAAAGAGCUCGUAGGCGGUUUGUCGCGUCUGCUGUGAAAUCCCGAGGCUCAACCUCGGGCCUGCAGUGGGUACGGGCAGACUGGAGUGCGGUAGGGGAGAAUGGAAUUCCUGGUGUAGCGGUGGAAUGCGCAGAUAUCAGGAGGAACACCGAUGGCGAAGGCAGUUCUCUGGGCCGUAACUGACGCUGAGGAGCGAAAGUGUGGGGAGCGAACAGG